Molecule: long non-coding RNA, 888 nt
Filed under: Bos indicus x Bos taurus (hybrid cattle)
Lineage: Eukaryota; Metazoa; Chordata; Mammalia; Artiodactyla; Bovidae
Description: lncRNA (ENSBIXG00005025942.1)
Source: RNAcentral
GUGAUUUUUCUUUUAGGUGGCAUUUCCCUGGAAGUCUUCUUUAUGUCAAGACUUGAACUGCUGCUUAUUGAAGCCAUCCUACAAAGAUGAUCUCCUGUUUCCAGGAGUCAGAGAGCCAAAGCUGGAGGCCCAGAAAGAGAAGGCCAUGCACAUAGCAGCAGCACAAAUCUGUGGGCCACUGUGACCCCGGCUCUGUCCCAGGCUUUCCAUCCCCAUUCCACCACCAAACAAAACAAGAACUGUUGGAUCAAUUUGGGAAUCGCCUUCUGCAGCUUCCUUCUAACUGUGGGAUUUCAUUCUGUGGACACCUGCUUCUAAAUAAAUACCUGUGUUUCCCUAAGAGCACUUUUGAUAAAUAAUGUCUCCUCCACCUUUGCAAUGGGAUGCCCAGUUCUUGUUAAGGCUGAAGGUAGAUUCUCCAUGGGGAAUUCUGAAAUGCAGGAGACACACACAGAGAACAAAAAAGAAAAAGCAGGAGGGAGAACUCUGACCACUCCACUCCCAUAUAGUACUCCGAGAAAGCUGAGGCCCACAUGGGCCCAAGGAAAGGACUCAUUUUUUCCACAUGCCCUGGCACAUGAGGACCCAGAAGCUACAGGAAAGGUGCCUGAGGAAGCGGCAGGCUUCGAUCCAUGGAACUGGAUCGAAGACUGGAGGCUGUGUGACCAGAACCUGCUCAAGGAAGAUGUCAGGAGCAUCUCUGAGUUAGCCUCCAGGGCAACAAAUUAUACUCAGCCCACCUACUCAGGACACACUGACCUGGCUGGUGCGGAGAAGUUCUGCCCCUUGCCCCUGCACCCAAGGAUGGAUAUAAAGACAGGUAGGCAAGUGUUGAAGGGGUGGAUGAUGGCAUGGGUGGCUGGAGGAAGAGGAGGAGAGGAGAGGUAG